RNAcentral lists this ribosomal RNA (442 nucleotides) under uncultured bacterium. RNAcentral's name for it is "partial 16S ribosomal RNA". It matches the Rfam family "Bacterial small subunit ribosomal RNA", at positions 338 to 795 of the family's 1533-position model. The record is from RNAcentral.
CCUACGGGAGGCAGCAGUGGGGAAUAUUGGGCAAUGGGCGCAAGCCUGACCCAGCAAAGCCGCGUGAAGGAAGACGGCUUUCGGGUUGUAAACUUCUUUGACAGGGGAAGAGCAGAAGACGGUACCCUGAGAACAAGCCACAGCCAAACACGUGCCAGCAGCCGCGGUAAUACGGAGGUGGCAGGCGUUGUCCGGAUUUCCUGGGUGUAAAGGGCGUGGAGGCGGGAAGGCCAGGCCGAUGUGAAAUCUGGAGGGCCAAACUCCAUGUAGCAGUUGAAACUGUUUUUCUUGAGUAAGGGAGAGGCAGACGGAAUUCGUGGUGUAGCGGUGAAAUGCGUAGAUAUAAGGAGGAACACCAGUGGCGAAGGCGGUAUGCUGGCCAGCAACUGACGGUGAGGCGCGAAAGUGUGGGGAUCGAACAGGAUUAGAUACCCUAGUAGUC